RNAcentral lists this ribosomal RNA (1807 nucleotides) under Durio zibethinus. RNAcentral describes it as "SSU rRNA". It matches the Rfam family "Eukaryotic small subunit ribosomal RNA". The record is from RNAcentral. Lineage: Eukaryota; Viridiplantae; Streptophyta; Magnoliopsida; Malvales; Malvaceae.
AUGGGUUGAUCUUGCCAGUAGUUAUAUGCUUAUCUUAAAGAUUAAGCCAUGCAUAUGUAAGUAUGAACUAAUUCAGACUAUGAAAUUAUGAAUGGCUCAUUAAAUUAGUUACACUUGUUGGAUGGUAUCUACUAUUUGGAUAACCAUAGUAAUUCUAGAAGUAAUACGUGUAUCAAACCCUAAGUUUUGGAAAUGAUGCAUUUAGUAAAUAAAAGAAUGAUGCAAGCUUUGCCCAUUGCUCUAAUGAUUCAUGAUAACUCGAUGGAUCAUAUGGCCUUUAUGCUAAUGACACAUCAUUCAAAUUUCUACCCUAUCAACUUUUGAUGGUAGGAUAGUGGCCUAUUAUGGUGGUAAUAAGUAAUAGAGAAUUAGGGUUUGAUUUUGGAGAGAGAGCCUCAGAAGUAGCUACGAGAUCUAAUGAAGGCAGUAGGCACUCAAAUUACCCAAUCCUAACAUAGGGAGGUAGUGACAAUAAAUAACAAUAUCAGGCUCUAUGAGUCUGGUAGUUAGAAUGAGUCCAAUAAAUCCCUUAACAAGGAUCCAUUGGAGGGCAAGUUUGGUGCUAGCAACUGUAGUAAUUCUAGCUCCAAUAGCAUAUAUUUAAGUUGUUGUAGUUAAAAAGCUUGUAGUAGGAACUAAGCUUAGGUUGUCUGGUCUUCCUCAUGGUGAGCAUUGGUCUACUCAUUCCUAUUAUUGAUGAUGCACUCCUGGCCUUAACUGGCUAGGUUGUUCUUUUAACGCUAUUACUUUGAAGAAAUUAGAGUGCUCAAAGUAGGCCUAUGCUUGUAUACAUUAGCAUGGGAUAAAAUCAUAGGAUUUGGUCCUGUUGUGUUGGUCUUUGGGAUUGGAGUAAUAAUUAAUAGAGACAUUUAGGGCAUUCAUAUUUCAAAGUCAGAGGUGAAAUUCUUGGAUUUAUGAAAGACAAACAAUUGCAAAAGUCUUUGCCAAAGAUGUUUUCAUUAAUCAAAGAUGAAAAGUUAGGGGCUCAAAGAUGAUCAGAUACCAUUCUAGUCUUAAGCAUAAAUGAUGCUGACCAAGGAUUGAUAGAUGUUACUUUUAGGACUCCACUGACAACUUAUGAGAAAUCAAAGUCUUUGGGUUCCAUGGGGAGUAUGGUCACAUGGCUAAAACUUAAAGGAAUUGAUAGAAGGGCACCAUUAGGACUAUAACUUGUAGCUUAAUUUGACACAAUAAGGAGAAACUAACCAAGUCCAGAAGUAGUAAAGAUUGACAAACUGAGAGCUAUUUCUUGAUUCUAUUUAUACAUGGUCAUUCUUAGUUGAUGGAGCAAUUGUUUGGUUAAUUCCAUUAAUGAAAGAGAUCUUGGCCUACUAACUAGCUACACGGAGCUCAUCCUUCAUGACUACCUUUUUAGAGAGACUAUGGUCACUUAGGUGAAGGAAGUUUGAGCCAAUGAUAGGUCUAUGAUGCCCUUAGAUGUUCUAGGCUGCAUGAGCUCUACACUAAUGUGUUCAUUGAGUCUAUAGCCUUGGUGAACAAGCUCAAGUAAUCUUUGAAAUUUCAUCAUGAUGGGGAUAGAUCAUUGUAAUUGUUGGUCUUCAACAAGGAAGUCCUAGUAAGUGUGAGUCAUUUGCUCAUGUUGACUACAUCCCUACCCUUUGUACACAUCGCCCAUCGUUCCUACCAAUCGAAUGGUCCAAUGAAGUGUUCAAAAAGUCUAAUAAAGUGUUCAAAAAGUAGUGACAUGGACAUUUGCAGCCUAUGAUGUCAUGAAAAGUCUACUAAACCUUAUCGUUUAAAGGAAGGAGAAGUCAUUAAAAGGUUUUCAUAGGUGAAACUACAAAAG